This 132-nucleotide small nucleolar RNA is filed under the name Chinchilla lanigera (long-tailed chinchilla). Its description in RNAcentral is "Small nucleolar RNA SNORA61 (ENSCLAG00000018938.1)". The record is from RNAcentral. Lineage: Eukaryota; Metazoa; Chordata; Mammalia; Rodentia; Chinchillidae.
CCCCCCCAGUUCUCUUUCCCAUGGGAUUUGCACACUGGUCGUGGUGGUCCUAAAGGAGGAAAAGGAGUGCUGAAGCAGGUCUCACAGCCUUAUAGCCUGGCAUGUGGACUAAUAGGGAUGAGUCAAAAAAUA